CAAACAUUUUCCCUUCUCUUUUUUUAAUUGGCCAAAAUAUUUUCCCUCUCUCUAAACAGCUUUAGCACUGACCCUCUCUCUCAUUUUCCCCCCAAUUUGAUCCUCUCUUUCAUUUUUCCCCUAAACGAGGCAUCUUCGAAGAGUCUAGUGUUCGUUGAGACGGAGAAUGCAUUUUCGAGAACGGAGAAGCCUCCUACUGACGAUAUUUGACCUAUUUGCAUUGGAAAUUUUGUUGUUCCUUUUCGAUGUCCCUGCGGUCACUGUUUCUGUGGGAAGGGUUCAUAUGGGGCUGUUUAUAAAGCUCGAGACUUGAGGACUUCAGAAAUGGUUGCCAUCAAAAUCAUAUCAUUAUCUGAAGGGAAGGAAGGCUAUGAAGAAAUUCGAGGUGAAAUUGAGAUGUUGCAGCAGUGCAGUCAUCCAAAUGUUGUUCGCUAUCUUGGUAGCUACCAAGGAGAAAAGUACCUUUGGUUAUGAAGGGUCAUCAUUUCAUUGGAAUUCAAAAUUAAAUCAUGCUCUGACUGAUUUAUUCAAGUGGUUCUGUUUCCGUUUUCCCUUUAUAAUAUCUGCAACCUCUACUAGAACUUCAGUUUAUUUAAUUUAUGAGGAAAAAUAAUUUUUGGCAGAUAGUAAUGGAGUAUUGUGAGGAUGGAAAUGUUGCUGACUUGAUGAAUGUCACAGACGAGGCUUUAGUGGUGUCCCUAGACCCCACUUCCAGAAAAAUAGUUUUGCUUGUAAAACAACCUUGGCAUUGAAAGAUGGAACUAAAGCUGAUCUUUUAACUUUUGCUAUAAACCUCAGGUACAUAUUCUGCUCUUCAGCUGGUGUAUACCUCAAAACUGAUUAUUUACCACACUUUGAGGUGGUAGAGGAUUUAAAGAACUCAACUUCACCUGCAUUACUACUUGUAUGCCAUGACUACAAUGCAGGCUCUAAAGGGGAAAUGGAGGGGAUUACUGAGAGAUAUAGCAAGAUCAUGAAAGGUUCUUGGGUAGACCAAUUUCGAUAUGGUUCUAAUCCUUGGAUGGCUAGAUAUCUUUACUCCUUAUUGUUUCUCAUUGCUAAUUUGUUAGCUUGGGCUGUUCGUGAUUAUGGGCUUAGCAUUUUGAAAGAAAUAAAGAGACUUAAAGGAUGUAAUGGCGGUGAAGACUGUAUGGGUGCAGAAGGAGUAUUAAGAGUUAGCUUGGGGUGUUCCUAGCUCUCUAAUCCAUUUUGAUUCAAGUUAGUUAGUUUACAAUCAAUCCUAAAAUUUACUCAAUGAUAGUAACAAGUUAAUGCUUGAUACUUGAAACAUAUGUUAUGAUUUUAUUUUAUUUUAUGUUCUUUGAAACUUUAAUGGCUUUGUGCAGGCAACUCAGUGAUGAAAUUCUUGAUUUUCUCCUUAACAUCAUAUUAGCUUUUCUAUUUUGCCAUGUUCCUGUCUACAGUUGGUACUUCGAAAAUGAACGACUCUAGAGAAUUAUAGCACUCAGGGUGGUGGUUUGCCAAGCAUUUCAUGAACAUUUCUCUAAUGUGGUUUGCCAAGCAUUUCAUGAACAUUUCUCUAAUUAUACUGCCCUUUCUUUUUCCAGCAGAGAUUAUUUCAAUCUAUGGUUAGUAUCGAUGCAUAAUAUUCUAGUAUGAUGAUGUAAUUAUGUGGUUGGAGUGGAUCUUAGAAUAUUGAAGUUUUAGUAUUUAAAUUUGGUUUUGGAGUUUGAAGAUACUAGUUAAUGUUGAAAAUUUAAUUUUGAAGUUUAACGUUCAAUGUAUUUUUGA
Long non-coding RNA from Capsicum annuum, 1752 nucleotides. RefSeq lists it as uncharacterized. The transcript has 5 exons. The record is from RefSeq and is a predicted model, not a curated record. NCBI's taxonomy places the organism in Eukaryota, Viridiplantae, Streptophyta, Magnoliopsida, Solanales, Solanaceae.